This 371-nucleotide small RNA is filed under the name Histoplasma capsulatum. RNAcentral's name for it is "hypothetical RNA". The record is from RNAcentral. Lineage: Eukaryota; Fungi; Ascomycota; Eurotiomycetes; Onygenales; Ajellomycetaceae. RNAcentral also lists the same sequence under 1 other name.
AAACCGAUCGACUUACAGAAUUCAUAGUAAGCUCCAGGGCUUUCACAGAGUUAUCCAAGAAAAAAUCUAAUGUAAUCAUAUCAAUUUAAAACGAACAUAUCAAGUCUCUCUCUCUCUCUCUCUGAUUUUUCUAUCUUAUCUCUAGUUUAUACACCAUUCAUAAGUAUUUCAUUGAAAAUGUCACUCACUUGUGACUUAUGAACAUAUGUAAUUAUCUUUUAAAAAUGUUUCAAAACAUCAAGUUAAAUCAUUGAUAUAUUUCAUAAUAUAGAAAAAAAAAAUUUCGAGGUUAGAUAUAAUCUGCAAGAAUCUCUGAAUAUUCAGAGUAUGAAUAGUGGUAUUUAUUUAUAUCUUCAUUAUGGCUGGUGUGG